GAUGAACGCUAGCGGCAGGCUUAAUACAUGCAAGUCGUGGGGCAGCAGGUUUGUAGCAAUACAGAUGCUGGCGACCGGCAAACGGGUGCGGAACACGUACAGAACCUUCCUUUGAGCGGGGAAUAGCCCAGAGAAAUUUGGAUUAAUACCCCAUAGUAUAAUGAAGUGGCAUCACUUUAUUAUUAAAGAUUUAUCACUCGAAGAUGGCUGUGCGGCUGAUUAGGUAGUUGGCGGGGUAAAGGCCCACCAAGCCUGCGAUCAGUGACUGGUGUGAGAGCACGACCAGUCACACGGGCACUGAGACACGGGCCCGACUCCUAACGGGAGGCAGCAGUAAGGAAUAUUGGUCCAAAUGGAGGCAAACUCUGAACCAGCCAUGCCGCGUGGAGGAUGAAGGUCCUCUGGAUUGUAAACUUCUUUAUAUGGGACGAAAAAAGGCUUUUCUAAAGUCGUCUGACGGUACCAUAUGAAUAA
This 474-nucleotide ribosomal RNA is filed under the name uncultured bacterium. RNAcentral's name for it is "bacterial SSU rRNA". It matches the Rfam family "Bacterial small subunit ribosomal RNA", at positions 28 to 489 of the family's 1533-position model. The record is from RNAcentral.